This 253-nucleotide ribosomal RNA is filed under the name uncultured bacterium. RNAcentral describes it as "partial 16S ribosomal RNA". It matches the Rfam family "Bacterial small subunit ribosomal RNA", at positions 524 to 776 of the family's 1533-position model. The record is from RNAcentral.
UACAGAGGUCUCAAGCGUUGUUCGGAUUCAUUGGGCGUAAAGGGUGCGUAGGUGGCGGGGUAAGUCAGGCGUGAAAUCUCGGGGCUCAACCCCGAAACUGCACUUGAUACUGCCUUGCUCGAGUACUGGAGAGGAGAUUGGAAUUUACGGUGUAGCAGUGAAAUGCGUAGAUAUCAGGAGGAACACCGGUGGCGAAGGCGGGUCUCUGGGCAGUAACUGACGCUGAGGAGCGAAAGCGUGGGGAGCGAACAGG